CACGUAGGCACCAAGCGUUGUCCGGAAUUAUUGGGCGUAAAGGGCUCGUAGGCGGUUUGUCACGUCGGGAGUGAAAACUCGGGGCUUAACCCCGAGCCUGCUUCCGAUACGGGCAGACUAGAGGUAUGCAGGGGAGAACGGAAUUCCUGGUGUAGCGGUGAAAUGCGCAGAUAUCAGGAGGAACACCGGUGGCGAAGGCGGUUCUCUGGGCCGUAACUGACGCUGAGGAGCGAAAGCGUGGGGAGCGAACAGG
Molecule: ribosomal RNA, 253 nt
Filed under: uncultured bacterium
Lineage: Bacteria
Description: partial 16S ribosomal RNA
Rfam family: Bacterial small subunit ribosomal RNA
Source: RNAcentral